GGAGGCGUGCCGGAGCGGUUUAACGGGCUGGUCUCGAAAACCAUGCGGGGUUUACCCCACGGAGGUUCGAAUCCUCCCGCCUCCGCCA
This 88-nucleotide transfer RNA is filed under the name candidate division WWE3 bacterium. RNAcentral's name for it is "tRNA-Ser". It matches the Rfam family "tRNA". From Rfam's summary of the family: Transfer RNA (tRNA) molecules are approximately 80 nucleotides in length. Their secondary structure includes four short double-helical elements and three loops (D, anti-codon, and T loops). Lineage: Bacteria; candidate division WWE3. The record is from RNAcentral.